This 840-nucleotide ribosomal RNA is filed under the name Hamatocanthoscypha podocarpi. RNAcentral's name for it is "partial large subunit ribosomal RNA". It matches the Rfam family "Eukaryotic large subunit ribosomal RNA", at positions 92 to 949 of the family's 3401-position model. The record is from RNAcentral. Lineage: Eukaryota; Fungi; Ascomycota; Leotiomycetes; Helotiales; Hamatocanthoscyphaceae.
AGUGAAGCGGCAACAGCUCAAAUUUGAAAUCUGGGUCUUUCAGGCUCCGAGUUGUAAUUUGUAGAAGAUGCUUCGGGUGUGGCUCCGGUCUAAGUUCCUUGGAACAGGACGUCAUAGAGGGUGAGAAUCCCGUAUGUGACUGGUUGCCUUCGCUCAUGUGAAGCUCUUUCGACGAGUCGAGUUGUUUGGGAAUGCAGCUCAAAAUGGGUGGUAAAUUUCAUCUAAAGCUAAAUAUUGGCCAGAGACCGAUAGCGCACAAGUAGAGUGAUCGAAAGAUGAAAAGCACUUUGGAAAGAGAGUUAAACAGUACGUGAAAUUGUUGAAAGGGAAGCGCUUGCAACCAGACUUGCACGUUGCCGAUCAUCCGGGGUUCUCUCCGGUGCACUCGGUUGCGUUCAGGCCAGCAUCGGUUUGGGUGGUUGGAUAAAGGCCUUGGGAAUGUAGCUUCUUUCGGGGAGUGUUAUAGCCCUCGGUGCAAUGCAGCCUACCCGGACCGAGGACCGCGCUUCGGCUAGGAUGCUGGCGUAAUGGUUGUAAGCGACCCGUCUUGAAACACGGACCAAGGAGUCUAACAUCUAUGCGAGUGUUUGGGUGUCAAACCCAUACGCGUAAUGAAAGUGAACGGAGGUGAGAACCCUUAAGGGUGCAUCAUCGACCGAUCCUGAUGUCUUCGGAUGGAUUUGAGUAAGAGCAUAGCUGUUGGGACCCGAAAGAUGGUGAUCUAUACUUGAAUAGGGUGAAGCCAGAGGAAACUCUGGUGGAGGCUCGCAGCGGUUCUGACGUGCAAAUCGAUCGUCAAAUUUGAGUAUAGGGGCGAAAGACUAAUCGAACCAUCUAGUA